GCCCUAGUAGCUCAGCUCAAGAGCAGCGGUCUUGUAAACCGAAGGUCAGAGGUUAAAAUCCUCUCUAGUGCU
This 72-nucleotide transfer RNA is filed under the name Coccorella atlantica (Atlantic sabertooth). RNAcentral's name for it is "tRNA-Thr". It matches the Rfam family "tRNA". Rfam says of the family: Transfer RNA (tRNA) molecules are approximately 80 nucleotides in length. Their secondary structure includes four short double-helical elements and three loops (D, anti-codon, and T loops). The record is from RNAcentral. Lineage: Eukaryota; Metazoa; Chordata; Actinopteri; Aulopiformes; Evermannellidae.